UACGUAGGGACCGAGCGUUGUCCGGAAUCAUUGGGCGUAAAGAGCGUGUAGGCGGCCCUUUAAGUCCUGCGUGAAAUCCUGCGGCUCAACCGCAGACGGUCGUGGGAAACUGGAGGGCUAGAGUGCGGGAGAGGAGAGUGGAAUUCCCGGUGUAGCGGUGAAAUGCGCAGAUAUCAGGAGGAACACCGGUGGCGAAGGCGGAUCUCUGGGCCUUACCUGACGCUGAGGCGCGAAAGCUAGGGGAGCGAACAGG
This 253-nucleotide ribosomal RNA is filed under the name uncultured bacterium. RNAcentral describes it as "partial 16S ribosomal RNA". It matches the Rfam family "Bacterial small subunit ribosomal RNA", at positions 524 to 776 of the family's 1533-position model. The record is from RNAcentral.